Molecule: long non-coding RNA, 1614 nt
Organism: Triticum aestivum (bread wheat)
Lineage: Eukaryota; Viridiplantae; Streptophyta; Magnoliopsida; Poales; Poaceae
Exons: 4
Source: RefSeq, a predicted model, not a curated record
GUUCAGUGACAAACAGGUUGGAGAUACUCCAGAAGCAGGCCCGUGACUCUGGUCCAUACGUGUUCCCCCUUGUACCAUUAUUGAGCAGGCUAGGCGGCGGGGGAGGGGGAUUCAUCAGUGGCAGAGCAUGGUAGAAAUCCAAAUCUGAGCGGGAGGCAGGAGACUCUGGUACAAGAGGAGGCGCCAGGACGGGCGGGCCACCGGGGAAAUCCUCCGCCGGGCCGCCGGGGGAAUCCAGCGCGGGUCGCAGCGGGCACCGCCGCCCCUGUCAUCUCGCCGCCUCCUGGAGUAUGGAUCCAUCUCAGGCCAGAUUGGGAACGGGGUUGGGGCAGCAAUUAUUGUCAGGUGUUCACAUCUAAGCAGUCAUCAUGCUGAACUACAGCAAGCUCAACAAGCUGCCACGAUCGUUGAAGAGGACGAAUCAGACAGGGGGGAUGGAUAUAACGGUCCUCCAUUCAGUGUUACUUUGUUAUAUCAUGGUUUGACCAGCAGAAACGAGACAUCAUUACCUUGAUGGGUUGGGGUGGCACUCUAUCCAUGCAACUGAUCAGCAAGUUAAGCGUCUAGCACAUGGUUUGGCUUUUAGGGAUGGUGGAUGAAGUCAUACAAGCCAUUAUCAUGGGACCGAAUAAGGUUUUUAAGUUCAACGAGAGCGACGUUGAGAAGGUAUUCAGAAUGCCAGCAGUUGGAACAGAUGCGAUGGACAAAACCCUUGAUAGGAGCGAGACUGUUUUUGCAUACUUGCGAGCUCGAUUGGGGAUAGAGAAUAAGGAGAUAAGAAGUCUGAAGAGCAUACAGUCCACACUGUCACGUCACUAUAAGGGGAAGAUGUCACAAGCAGAGGUGGCUGCAUUCAAAACUACGUACAUCGUUUUCAUGAUGACACAUGUAUUUGCACCGACAGUCAAGAACGACUACUUCUACACCGACUAUUGGUCCGCACUGGUUGACCCGGAUAGCUUGGAUAAGUUCAAUUGGGGAAGAUAUAUCGUUGAAGUAUUGUGUGCUGCCGCCGGGAAGAUGAAACAAGAUAUUCGCAGGAAAACCACGGUGUCGAACAUAACAUGAUGUUUAUUCAUCCUAAGCGCCAAUUGUCCGCAAGGUAAUCAAAAAAAGCUCAAGGUUCCAUUUACAUGAAUAUAGCAUUUAAUUAUUAUUGUUAUACAUGCGUAUGUUAUACAAGGUUAAUGUUCUAUGGAUCCAGAAAAUCAUCAUAUCUACCUAUCAUGCCUGCGGGCACCUGUAUGGUUUCUACGCCAUAACUUCUGCAGGAAUUUCAGUGGCGACCAAGCGAGUCAUAAUAUUCAUGUGGACGAUGACAGUUAUCUGGCAGCAUGUUACCUUUACGACAUAUUGCAUCUCAAUGGGAACAAUGCAAGGAGGCCGCAUCAGUUCAUCGAGUCUAUCGAUGAAUGAAAGAGCAUGCAGUUUCGAGUGAACGUCAGGGUGUAACAAUAUGAAGUCUCUUGGGGGCAUUUUUUGCCUGAGACUGUUUCUGUUGGGGCCGAAGUGUUUGUAUGUUAAUGAUCUAGAUUGGCUAUGUGGACCUAUAUAUUAUGAUGUCAAACCAUGGACAAAAAUAUAAGUUGUUUGGUAUGGAUGUCAAGUUAUGAA